GGAUAUUGUUCAAUUGGUAGAGCGUUUGCCUCACAUGCUCAAGACUCUGGGUUCACUCCCCAGAACCAUUCA
This 72-nucleotide transfer RNA is filed under the name Marmota monax (woodchuck). RNAcentral's name for it is "tRNA.Val". Lineage: Eukaryota; Metazoa; Chordata; Mammalia; Rodentia; Sciuridae. The record is from RNAcentral.